GAUGAACGCUGGCGGCGUGCCUAAUACAUGCAAGUCGAGCGAACAGAUGAGGAGCUUGCUCCUCUGACGUUAGCGGCGGACGGGUGAGUAACACGUGGAUAACCUACCUAUAAGACUGGGAUAACUUCGGGAAACCGGAGCUAAUACCGGAUAAUAUAUUGAACCGCAUGGUUCAAUAGUGAAAGACGGUUUUGCUGUCACUUAUAGAUGGAUCCGCGCCGCAUUAGCUAGUUGGUAAGGUAACGGCUUACCAAGGCAACGAUGCGUAGCCGACCUGAGAGGGUGAGCGGCCACACUGGAACUGAGACACGGUCAAGACUCCUACGGGAGGCAGCAGUAGGGAAUCUUCCGCAAUGGGCGAAAGCCUGACGGAGCAACGCCGCGUGAGUGAUGAAGGUCUUCGGAUCGUAAAACUCUGUUAUUAGGGAAGAACAAAUGUGUAAGUAACUAUGCACGUCUUGACGGUACCUAAUCAGAAAGCCACGGCUAACUACGUG
This 497-nucleotide ribosomal RNA is filed under the name uncultured bacterium. RNAcentral describes it as "partial 16S ribosomal RNA". It matches the Rfam family "Bacterial small subunit ribosomal RNA", at positions 28 to 507 of the family's 1533-position model. The record is from RNAcentral.